Molecule: ribosomal RNA, 253 nt
Filed under: uncultured bacterium
Lineage: Bacteria
Description: partial 16S ribosomal RNA
Rfam family: Bacterial small subunit ribosomal RNA
Source: RNAcentral
UACGUAGGGGGCGAGCGUUGUCCGGAGUUACUGGGCGUAAAGCGCUUGUAGGCGGUCCACCAAGUUUGGGGUGACAGUUGCCGACUUAAUCGGCAAAGUGCCUCAAAGACUGGCGGACUUGAGGGCCACAGAGGGACAUGGAACUCCAGGUGUAGUGGUGAAAUGCGUAGAUAUCUGGAGGAACACCGGUGGCGAAGGCGGCAUCCUGGACCGGCACUGACGCUGAGGAGCGAAAGCCAGGGGAGCAAACGGG